CUGAUCUGCUCAGCUCUGGGCCACCCGGAGCUUGGAGCGUCCUUGCUGUCCUGUGCCCUCCUGGCUUCUGCCUGUCCCGGGGGGAGCAAGGGUUCUUGGGCUAUGUCCCUGGCACCCUGUGCUCCGGGCCUACGCUGUUGGAAUC
RNAcentral lists this microRNA precursor (145 nucleotides) under Canis lupus familiaris (dog). RNAcentral describes it as "miRNA (ENSCAFG00000053616.1)". The record is from RNAcentral. Lineage: Eukaryota; Metazoa; Chordata; Mammalia; Carnivora; Canidae.